This 253-nucleotide ribosomal RNA is filed under the name uncultured bacterium. Its description in RNAcentral is "partial 16S ribosomal RNA". It matches the Rfam family "Bacterial small subunit ribosomal RNA", at positions 524 to 776 of the family's 1533-position model. The record is from RNAcentral.
CACGUAGGGCGCAAGCGUUGUCCGGAAUUAUUGGGCGUAAAGAGCUCGUAGGCGGUCUGUUGCGUCCGCUGUGAAAACCCAGGGCUUAACCCUGGGCUGGCAGUGGAUACGGACAGACUAGAGGUAGGUAGGGGAGAAUAGAAUUCCCGGUGUAGCGGUGAAAUGCGCAGAUAUCGGGAGGAACACCGGUGGCGAAGGCGGUUCUCUGGGCCUUACCUGACGCUGAGGAGCGAAAGCGUGGGGAGCGAACAGG